GGAGGAGAGAAGGAAGGAAGGAAGGAAGGAAGGAAGGAAGGAAGGAUCCACCACACAGAUGGUUUGGUAGCACGCAUCACACAUCAGUCAUCACACACAGCGUUCAUUACUGACUUAUCUGACUAACAUUAUUAUAUUUUUAGCUCAAAUUUAUUUUAAGAUGUUUGACUCAUGUGAGAUUUUCCUUUUCUUUUCUUUUUGCCUCUAACUGUGAGUCAGGUCAUGACAAAGUGUUUGUGUUCAUUUGCUUUUUGUGUCAUAUUGUGUCAUCAUGUUAUCUUAUUAUGUCACUCCUCCUUGUUGCUGCCGUGUUGUUAUCUCUUGUAAGUCUUGUUGUGUCAUCCAGUUAUAUCCUCGACAUCAACAAGACAACAGCUGGAGUGACACAGCAGCUGAUUCUGCACCCAGUCGGCCACAGCCACCAGCAGCUUGUGUUUCACCAUCCUCUCAUUCACCUGAAUCAGCCGGAUGUCUAAAUUCACGCUGAUCUGAAGCAACGAAAACAAGUUUUAAAAUCACUCAUUCCACAUUUAAGGAUGAAGAUGAUGGCGGUGGUGAGGAAGAUGGAGACCAGGCUGACAGAGAGGCAGAGGACCCAGUAGUCGCUGACGGUGAUGUAGAGGUGGAGAGUGGAGAAGACGGCACAC
Molecule: long non-coding RNA, 647 nt
Organism: Scomber japonicus (chub mackerel)
Lineage: Eukaryota; Metazoa; Chordata; Actinopteri; Scombriformes; Scombridae
Exons: 3
Source: RefSeq, a predicted model, not a curated record